GACGAACGCUGGCGGCGUGCUUAACACAUGCAAGUCGAACGGAAAGGCCCUGCUUUUGUGGGGUGCUCGAGUGGCGAACGGGUGAGUAACACGUGAGUAACCUGCCCUUGCCUUUGGGAUAACUUCAGGAAACUGGGGCUAAUACCGGAUAGGAGCUCCUGCUGCAUGGUGGGGGUUGGAAAGUUUCGGCGGUUGGGGAUGGACUCGCGGCUUAUCAGCUUGUUGGUGGGGUAGUGGCUUACCAAGGCUUUGACGGGUAGCCGGCCUGAGAGGGUGACCGGCCACAUUGGGACUGAGAGACGGCCCAGACUCCUACGGGAGGCAGCAGUGGGGAAUAUUGCACAAUGGGCGGAAGCCUGAUGCAGCAACGCCGCGUGCGGGAUGACGGCCUUCGGGUUGUAAACCGCUUUCGCCUGUGACGAAGCGUGAGUGACGGUAAUGGGUAAAGAAGCACCGGCUAACUACGUG
This 468-nucleotide ribosomal RNA is filed under the name uncultured bacterium. RNAcentral's name for it is "partial 16S ribosomal RNA". It matches the Rfam family "Bacterial small subunit ribosomal RNA", at positions 28 to 507 of the family's 1533-position model. The record is from RNAcentral.